RNA transcript from Populus nigra (black poplar), 4795 nucleotides. It is a transcript of the gene named putative pentatricopeptide repeat-containing protein At1g31840, with no coding region annotated. Lineage: Eukaryota; Viridiplantae; Streptophyta; Magnoliopsida; Malpighiales; Salicaceae. The record is from RefSeq and is a predicted model, not a curated record. The transcript has 7 exons.
UCUCUGUUGCGCGGGAAAAAAAAGAGAGAAAAUCGUAUAAAACACCACACCUAAAAGCUAGGGUUUUCUUCUUCUCUGCAGCAAAUCAGAAUCCACCACAGUUGUUUGGUCUCUCUCUAUCUGUCUUUACUAACCAAAGAAAAAAAUCUGUGACUUCAUGGGUUUCAUGAUGACCAAACUAUGAAAUCUAGAUAAGGGUCUCCCCUCAGUUGUUUCACAGGCCAAACUAGGGUUAUGUCAGCUGGCAAAGGGAGACUGAAUGGUACUCAAAACUAUGUUCCUUUGUAAUUCAUCCUUAAUAAUCUCAAAGAUGCUAGUUAAUAUCAAAAGCCCUUCUGCUAUUUUCUCGUCUAUUACUAAAAGUCACAAUCAUUGCUCUUAUUAUUACUUUUUCUCUAGCUCUUCUUCUUCUAAGAACAAGAACUGGAGCCUUAUACACCAAAUUGUUAAAGCCUUUCACAACCAACAAAACCCUAAACCCUUAAACCCUAUUCUUCUCUCUAAAUUACAACUCUACCAUGUACCUGACGUUAUUAUAUCCCUUCAGCCUAAGCCCUUUUCGGCUAUUAGAUUCUUUGAGUGGGCUGAGAGCUUUUUCAUUUCACCACUCUCUGCACCAUCAUUCUGUGCCCUCCUCCAUGUCUUGCUUCAAAACCAAUUAUUUAGUCGUGCUGCUUGUGUUUUCGAUAAGUUUAUCAUGCAAUUUGGAAAUGAUUAUGACACUUUGGAUGCCUUUCGUGAUGGUUUUUGUGAUUUGGAUUCGACAAAUCAUAGUGUUGUUUAUGGGUUUUUGAUUGAGAGUUACUGUCGAAAAGGGAUGUUUGAUAAAUCUGUUGAUAUAUUCAUGCAUGUUUGUGUAAAGGGUAUUUUUGUUUCACCAAAUGUGGUGUACUUGUUGUUGGGUUCUUUGGUUGAUUCACAUUGUGUUGAUGUAAUUGUGGAUAAGUAUGGUGAGCUGUGUUCAGCUAUGAGAGAACAGCCUUUUAGUGUUUAUGAAUUUGUAAUGAAUAGGUUUAUGAACAAGGGUGAGGUUGAAAUGGGUUUGAGAUUCCAUAAAGCUUUGAUUCAAGGAGGUUUUGGUCUGGAUAUCAUUACUUGCAAUAAGAUUUUAAAAGGUAUUUGGAUGCAAAAUGAUAUAGGAGUUGCAGAUGAUUAUUUUAAUAUGGUAGUGAGGAUUGGCCCAAAACCAAAUGUUGUCACAUUUAGCACAUUGAUUGAUGCAUAUUGCAAAGAGGGAAAUUUGGAUAAAGCAUUUGUGCUUUUUGAUGUUAUGGCAGGGAAUGGUGUGGCACCUGACUUAAUUGUCUACAGCAUUCUUAUUGAUGGCCUGUUUAAGGCAGGGAGGCUGGAAGAUGGACAAAGGCUCUUGUUGGUAGCAUUAGAUAAGGGUAUCAAGUUUGAUGUUGUUGGUUUCAGCUCAGCCAUGGAUGCAUAUGUGAAAAUUGGGGAUUUAGGGAGGGUAAUUCAGAUAUAUAAGAGAAUGUUGAAUGAAGGGAUUUCACCUAAUGUGGUCAGCUGCAGCAUUCUUAUAAAGGGGUUCUGUCAGAAUGGUAGGAUCUUAGAGGCUUGUGGACUGUUUGUUCAGAUUCUGAAACUUGGUUUUGAGCCAUCUAUUUUAACUUACAGCGCUCUCAUUGCUGGAUUUUGCAAAUCAGGAAAUCUAAGGGAUGGGUUUUACUUAUAUGAGGAUAUGAUAAAGAAGAGGUGUGAACCUGAUACCAUUGUUUACAGUGUUCUGAUAAAUGGUCUAUGCAAACAAGGGUUGCUGGGUGAUGCACUAAGAUUCUUCUGUCAAGCUGUGAAUAGGGGUUUAAGUCCCAAUGUUUUUACUUUGAACACCUUGCUAGACAGCUUCUGUAGAUUGAAAUGCAUAGUUGGUGCUAUGAAGGUGUACUAUCUAAUGGGAAUGUUAAAUAUAAAAGCAGACACAGUGACCUACACCAUCCUUAUUAAAGGCGCUGCUCAAUUUGGUAAAGUUGAUGAGGCACUGAUGUUAUUCUUCCAAAUGCUCAAGAAGGAUUUCAAACCAGAUGUUAUUACAUAUUGCACUCUGAUUGAUGGACUUUGUAAGCUGAAAAAAUCAUCUGCAGGAUUAUGUAUUUUUGAUUUCAUGUGCAAGAAUGCUGUGGCCCCUGAUAUUGCAAUUUAUAAUGUUCUCAUUAAUAUGCAUUCUAGGGAAGGCCAUUUGGAGGCUGCACUUGGACUCUUUGUCCAUGUUGUUGAGAGAGGGCCAAAACCUGAUGUUUUUACUUUCAACACAAUGAUUUGCUGUUACUGCAAUUUCAAAAGGUUAGAUGAUGCAGUUCAGCUUUUUGCGAAGAUGACAAGUGAACAGCUCAGACCCAAUGCCAUUACUUUUACCAUACUGAUUGAUGCAUUUUGUAGAGAAGGUAGAAUGGAUGAUGCCAUGUUGAUGUUUUCCAAAAUGCUGGAAGAGGGUCCCGAACCCAAUUUGGUGACAUAUAAUUGUUUGAUUCAUGGUUAUUUCAAAUCUCAAAGUAUGAUGGAAAGUGGCUUAAAGCUGUAUAAUGAGAUGCUUGAAAACAAUAUUGCUCCAAAUAUUGUCAGUUACAGCAUUCUCAUUGAUGGUCUAUGUAAAAGAGGUCUAAUGAAGGAAGCGUCUUGUGCUUUUCGUUGUGCACUAGACAAACAUUUAUUGCCUGAUGUGAUAGCUUAUACGAUUCUGAUCCGUGGAUAUUGCAAGGUUGGGAGAUUAACUGAAGCCAUGAUGUUGUAUGACAAUAUGUUGUUGAAUAGACUCACUCCAGACCGCUUCCUGGAAAGAACACUUGAGGAGUAUCAACUUAAAAAAGCUGGAGCAAAACAUGUGUGUGCUUGAGGAGGAUGCAUGGAGACCUUUCUAUCAUCAUCCUGCAAUUAGGCAUCAUCAUGGUCAGCUUAAUGAUUGUAGGGGUGUUGAUCCAUGGAGACACGAUUGCUUUCUACUCCUACAGAUGGCAGAGGCAAAGAAUGGAAUUGGACACGUUCGACAUGCAAUUACUCCAAAAAUGGGGGUGAGGAUCUUGCAAAGAAAGGGCUCUCUCUCCAACAUGUCUUUCAUCAAUAGGGAGUAUUUGUGGACAGACUGAACAGAUAAAACUUGGAAGAGCUCUAGAGAUGGAAUGGAUAGUUUUGGAUGAAAAAGAACGUUUCUCUGGAAGAUGAGAGAAUUCUGUCAGAAAAGGAAAGGGGUAACAAGUCAACAUCUGCCAAAGUUACUCAUUAAGACCCGGAUUAAAUUCUUACCCUUUUUGUGCAAGAAACAAGAACAUUUUUUCAGGAAUACCCAGCAAGAAUCAUUCUGAUCCUAUCUCUGUUCAUCUGAAGAAAGGAAGGAUCCCAAAUGUGACAUGCUAUUACAUCUUAUAAACUCUCAUUUAGACCUGGGAAGAAAGGGCCAAGGAUACCCAAAGAGUUUAAACUUCAAGUGUGGAGGCAGUUAUGCUGAGGUUGUUAUCGAUCUUGCUUGUACAUGUUCAACAUGUUAUAUCAAUGAAAUGAAAGUUUUGCUCCAAGUUUUCUUCCUGUUUGUGAAAGGUGGUACGUGUUUCCUGCAGGUAUGAUCUGUUGUUCCAAGGCAACUAUUUUUCCUUGUCAUUGACUGUUCCUUCUAAGUUUCAGAAAAGUAGAUUCUGUCUUGUAAUUUCAAGAAGGUUGUUGCAUGUGCUAUUUCUCAAACCCAAGUGGAAGGUCAAGAAACACUGCCAUGUUACAAGAGAUGACACAGACAGCAACAAACAGGAUGAUGCUAUUAACGGGAUGAUGCUAGCAAACAGGCUGUUUAAUUUUACUUUCAGCAGAGCAGAACUAGGGCUUCAUGCUACUAACAUAUCUAUUAGGAGAGCUAACAAACAUAUAGAGACAGAGAGCAGAGAGGAGAAAGCAGCAAUAACAGGCAGUUCCUGGUCAAGGUAUGGAUCAUCCUCUGCAUUCGUCAGCAUCAAUUCCUACAUCUGGGCCAGGGUCUUCUUCUGCAGGGGUGUAUGAAUUCACGGCCUACCUCCUCCUUGUUGUACCCUUGUAGACCGCCCUCCAUGGUUCCUCUCUAGCCAUAACGAUCACGAACGUCAAGAAUAAUAGUAGAGUAUUAGUUUCCAAGUUGACAAUGAAGAGGUGAUUAUUCACAAGCAUGCAAACCAGCAGAGAUAAACAUAAAAGCUGGGUGGAGAAAGGGUUACGUUCAGCUAGGAAUUCCUGAGCUUCAAGGCUCUUACCACCUCUCCUUCCUUUGCCUUGGCAUCAAGUUCUGAUCUUACUUGCUGUGUGGUCAUCCCAAGUUUCAUAAAGUAGUAUAAAAUCUGGGUAUCAUCCCCUUGCCUCUGAUGUUGCCGAAUCAUCUUGGUUUCAUUCUUUGCGUAGUGACUUAUCUAUUGCACCUCGUCUACCCUGAUAAUAUUUCCACCACCUAUCUUGUAGUCAAUCCUAUUAAUCAUGCUAGGACUAAGCAUUUAAAGGUUGCUUUGCAUUUUGUUCAUGAUCAAGUUGCGUCGAGAGAUAUCGAAGUCAAGUUUGUUUCCAGUAGAGAUCAUGUGGCCGAUAUUCUCACCAAUAUUUUCACCAAAGGGCUCUCUUCUGCUCCAUUUGCUUUGCCAAUUUGAGCUUUCUCGCAUCUCCAGCUCAAAUUGGGGAAGGGUGGGUAACAGACAAUAGUGAUUUGAUAUCCCUAAUAUCAUGCUAUCUAUAUAUGAUGGUCUUAUAUUUUAGGACAUACAAUGUAUUGUAAUUAAGACAAGAUUAUAUAUUAAUUGUAUAAUGAGAAUAUAUAUACAAAUCACAUUGAGAUUAUCGUCCUAAA